This 560-nucleotide ribosomal RNA is filed under the name uncultured eukaryote. Its description in RNAcentral is "eukaryotic LSU rRNA". The stretch from base 159 to 311 matches the Rfam family "5.8S ribosomal RNA". The record is from RNAcentral.
UUCCGUAGGUGAACCUGCGGAAGGAUCAUUAACACUAAUCCAUCUCAACUCAACAAAGCCUUCAGUUGCAGCAGUGGUGCGUUCGCGUACAGCUGCCGCAGCAACUUACAAAACUAAUCUAAACAAAGAUAACUAAGUAAAACCAACCACUAAAACCAAAUUCUCAACGGUGGAUGUCUUGGUUCCCACAACGAUGAAGAACGCAGCGAAGUGCGAUAAGCAGUGCGAAUUGCAGAACCGUGAGUCAUCAGAUUUUUGAACGCAACUGGCGCCGCCCGGGGUGACCCGACGGCACGCCUGGUCCAGUGUCUUGUUCUCUCCUCACCCAAAUCAUAAUGCGAGAGAUGCCCUUCUCUUGCUAAGCAUGAAAGCACUCUGCACUCUGCGAGCGGCCUUCGGGUCGCACUCAAUGCAGCAGUCACAUUUUCAUAAUGUGAACUCAUUGAGAGUGGAGGCAGUGCAGCGACAGCUGCCAGUGCUUAGACACACCAACUUAGGUACAGCAUCUGGGCUCAGGUGGGACCACCCGCUGAACUUAAGCAUAUCAAUAAGCGGAGGAA